GGCUGUUUCCAAAGAGCCCUGUAAUUGUUUUCCACCUGUGUCUCACCCAAACACCAAGGCUGGCGCAGGUGGACACCUUCCCACUUUUCUCCCUCCAGGCUGGGCCCCAGAAAUCAGUAGAGGAGGGAGGAAUCAGUCAGCGUGGCCAUGCCUGGGAGGAGAGGCCCGUGUGGGUCUGUGGGGCUAAGAGGCAAAGGCGGGUGGCGGAUGUGGGCCAGCGGGAGCCUGGAGGGGUUGACACCGCCUGCUCCACCGCAAGCCCCUGGAGGAAGAGCCCCGCUGUGCCCGAGAGCGAGCGCGGGCAGGUGUAACUACCCGGGGCUGGGGCUCCGGGGGCUCCGCGCAGCCUCCUUCCCUCCCAGGGACACCGCCCAGCUGCGCCCCGCGCCCCGCCGACUGCGCGGGCCUUGAGACGCUGGUGGCUGCCUCGGGGUUGGCCUGCUCCUCGCGCACAUGUUCAGGGUCAUCCGCGCUGCGCCUCUGCUUCAGGUGCUUGGCUAGAGAAAGGGCGGCAAGACGGGGCAGUGCGUGUGCGCGCGCGGGCAAGUGCAUGUGAGUGCACACUUAUGUGAGCGCAUGUGUGUCUGCGCUUGUGCGUGUCCAGGGGAACCACAGGGAGCACCCUCAUUCUAAGCCUCCAGAGGACUGCCUGAAGCCGCUAGAUAGAAACUCCCCUAGAAUGUAAGCUCCGGGGGGGAGGGAGCUUUGUUUGAUGGCUGCUGUAUUCCCAGUGCCCAUUGAAGUACUGGGGACACAUUAGAUGCUUAAUAAACAGCUGUUGAGUUAAUCAACGGACUCUAGGAAUGGAGGCAGACCGGCCCUUCUGGAACUGGAGAAAGGACAAGGCCACAUUUCACCGUCUCCUCUGUUCUUGGUACCAGCCCUGGCGUCCCCGGCAACGCCAAUCCUUCUCACAUCCAGCUUGUGCCAAGUUUUCCUCCCUGCUCGUGUUUACACCUUCUCCCCUUUGUCUCUGUUUCCUGCUGGCCCCUGUGUGUAAGCACCCCAGCAGUCAGAGUGAGAGGAAGACGAAAGAAGCAGAAUUCUGGAAAUAGAGAGCUACCAGGGUGGCCUCUUCCUUCUGGAAGGACACGGAAAGAUGGGGUGAGACUGGCGCUCUUCUUCAGCUCCUCCCUUUGGGAAUUGGGACUUUGAGCUUCAGUUUCCUCACUUUGAAAUAGCAGCUAUUCCACCUGCCUCGCAGGAUUGUUGCAAGAAGUCAGGCAGGAGGCUGAAAAGUUCUGGAGCACAUGAUAGGUGCUACAGAAACGUUCGUUUCGUCUCCUGACUAGCAUCCAACAGUCUGGGAGUGCCCCAGGUGUGGCUGAGGGUGGUUAUGGUUUGAUAACCACCACCAGAACACCCCUCCUUUUUUCACAAAAUGCCUUGAGGAGAAUUUAAUGGCUGUCGAAAAUUAAGGCAAGCUUCAUUUCUAAAACAUUCAGGAGUCAAUAUGUUGUGAGUCAUGUAUUCCGUCGGGGCCUCCACUCACUCCGGAGGGAGCUUUUCCAAGUAAUUAAACAACGAUGUCGUGAUCAAGCUGAAGUCCACCAGCCCCAGCCUUUCCAUUCGGGACCUUCUCCUGCACAUGCUGCAGCUGCCUCCAAGACUACUGCGAUGGAGAUGAGCAGAUUCUUCCUUCAGUUGUAGAGGGAGACACUGCGAAAACCUAAUGCUGUCAAUAACGCUUUUCAUCUCGAAAGGAAGGAUCCGAUUUCACUCUUUUCAGCCUGAUUUAAGGACCCACCAGAAAAAAACAAACUUCAUGGGGUAAUUAGGAAAUUAUCCUCUUACAAAUUGGUAGAUGUCGUCUUUUUUUCCUUGGGACAAGACAGAAAGGACAUUGUUUGUCUUUUACCAUGGUGAAGCUGCUGCGAUUAACCAUGCCACCUGGGGAAUGGUUCACUUGUGGGUAAGCUGAUAGCCUGCUGUUCCAGGGUGCGCCUGCCAAGAUCACUAUCAUUACACUCAAGAUGAAGAGGAGGGGGACGGCAAGGAAGGCAAAGUGCAGUGCUCAAACAGAAGCAUGGAGUUGGAACGAGAAGCUGAGUCCAUGAGACAGCAAAUAAGGAGUCCACGUUGGCCAAAGAACAGGGCAACACACGGGACUUUGCCAGGCAUCUUUGAGAGAGAAUGGAAUGGGAGGAAUCAAGACACUGAGGGCUAGAGACAUGACUGUACCCCUGGGAAAUGCUGCCACCCAGCACGGCACGGAAGUCAUGGAGACAUUCUUCAAGGCUGCCAUGGGCCAAAGACUCACAAAAUUCAUCAUCUCUUCCACCUCCACCUUGCUUUAAUUAGGGCUUUGCUGAAGACAACGACUUAACCUAAAGAUCGAGUCCACGGUGGGAGUACUGGGCUCCAAGUCAGGGCAGUGAAGGCGCAAGGUAGUAGACUAACACCCCUCCACCUGCACUGGCACAUCCUCCAUGCAUUUGGCAAUCUCAUCAAACACAGGGUCAAGGCAGCUGUGUUCCAGCCCUGGCUCUGCCACUUGUUUGCUGUGUAGCUUUAGACACACCACUCACCUUCUGUGAACCUUGAGUUCCUCAUGUGUGAAUCAAGAUCACGGCAUCUCCCCUGCUUACCUCACAGGGCUCCUGUGGAUGAGGCAACGUACAAAGUGCUUUGUCAACUAUAAAGCAUUGAUGAAACAUCAGGAACUGUUGUCAUCGUUCCAGGUUACACCAGAUUUGACCACCGGGAGCCCCUUUAAGCCAGUUCCUGUGUCUUGUUGACAUGUCUUCAUCAUUCUUGGAGCACUUCCUGACUUUCCAUACGACAAAAUGUCCCCGGCUCUUCUUGUACCUUCCCUGCCACACCCAUGGAAUCAGCUGUUUCUCCAAAGAGUCCUGGCUCUAAGCACUAAGUCUGCACAUUGCUAUUGAGUGUCCCUGCUCCCAGGUGCUCUCCGUGGAGAGGACACACGAACGUAUGCGCUCAUGCACACACACACACACACACACACACACACACACACUUAAUCUACAGUGACAGAAAGCAGAUCAGUGGUUGCCUCGGGAUAAGGGUGGUAAGAAAAGGUGGAAGACAGGAAUUACAAAGGCAAGGGCCACAAGGAAACUUUUGGGGAGAUGAAGAUACGUGUAUAUCAAGAUUUAUCAAAAUAUACCUUUUUUUUUUUUGAGACAGAGUCUCACUCUGUUGCCCACACUGGAGUGCAGUGGCAGGAUCUCAGUUCACUGCAACCUCCACCUCCCAGCUUCAAGCAAUUCUCCUGCCUCAGCCUCCCGAGUAGCUGGCAUUACAGGCAUGCACCACCAUGCCAGCUAAUUUUUGUAUUUUUAGUAGAGACAGUGGUUUCACCAUGUUGGCCAG
This 3336-nucleotide long non-coding RNA is filed under the name Homo sapiens (human). Its description in RNAcentral is "HSALNT0183347". The record is from RNAcentral. Lineage: Eukaryota; Metazoa; Chordata; Mammalia; Primates; Hominidae.